CCAAUAUAGUCAUCCAUUGAGGUUACUCGUGGCUCUGUCCAAGUGGUAUAUGGGAGCGUAGCCCUAACUGCAAUGAUGUACAAUCCCCUUCCACAGUGUUGAAGAGUAAGCCUGUCUUUGGUUCUAGAGCUGAUGAGAGCAGCAUCCUUUAUAUUCCUAUAACUUCUCCGUCUCUAGACAAUUACUGAGGAGAAACCUUGCAGGGUGUAAGA
Molecule: small nucleolar RNA, 212 nt
Filed under: Chelydra serpentina (North American snapping turtle)
Lineage: Eukaryota; Metazoa; Chordata; Testudines; Chelydridae
Description: Small nucleolar RNA SNORA73 family (ENSCSRG00000000865.1)
Rfam family: Small nucleolar RNA SNORA73 family
About the family: U17 (SNORA73A and SNORA73B) also known as E1 belongs to the H/ACA class of small nucleolar RNAs (snoRNAs).
Source: Rfam by way of RNAcentral